This is a non-coding RNA of Sarcophilus harrisii (Tasmanian devil), 66 nucleotides long. The record is from Rfam. NCBI's taxonomy places the organism in Eukaryota, Metazoa, Chordata, Mammalia, Dasyuromorphia, Dasyuridae.
CAUGGAGGAAGCUGACCUAGCUGGUGUGGUAUAGAGAAGCCAACUUGUUUAUAUGUCUAGUCCAUG